Molecule: long non-coding RNA, 1795 nt
Filed under: Triticum aestivum (bread wheat)
Lineage: Eukaryota; Viridiplantae; Streptophyta; Magnoliopsida; Poales; Poaceae
Description: long non-coding RNA (TAES_LNC004762)
Source: RNAcentral
UCCCGGGUUUGAAAUUUGCCAGCAUUUGCAGCUCUUGCAAGUACCUGAUUAUCUGUCAGAAGGGUGGACCGAUAAAACCUGUAACUUUGGACUCUACCUGAAGCCCUUUCAUUAUAGCUUGAGCAGCUUGAUGCACCUGAGUUGGAUGUCCCUAUUUUCUUCCAAAAUGUUUGUCAUUUCCCGCCUUCUAUAUACACCAGAAAAAGUCAUUAGAUUGCAUAUGGAAGCAUAGUGGUGUCCUGAACUUAAGAUUGCUUGAAUAAUAUUAGGAAUUGAUCUGUAAUGUUGCACAAAGUAAUCAGACCUAAGAAACCAUGGUUCUAAGAACUAAGCAGCUUUAGCAAAUGGGCAUGAGAAAAAUAAAUGAAUGUCAUCUUCCUCCGCCUCACACAUGGAGCAGUAUUUGGAGAUGUGUCUGGCAUACAUACCAGCCCGCAUGCCUGUUGGAACUGCUCUCUCAAGAAGCCUCCAAGCAAACGUCUGAAUUCUCAGAGCAAUGCUAUUGUCUUUCCAAACCUAGCAAAAAAGUGUUUUUACAAGAGUAAACACCUGCCUUCGUUGAGGAGCUCAUUCUUGAUGAAGAACCUGUACACAUAGCUUGUAUGCACUCUUAGUAGUGCACUUACCUGUUGGGGUGUGUUUCCAACACAUGAUAUCUUUACCCUCCGUUUGAAUUAUGGGGGUUUGGAGAAUAAUGCUUGCUGCCUCAGCAUCAAACAGAGAGUAAAUAAGAUUUUCAUUCCAAGCUUUAUUGUUAGGUUUCCAUAGAUCUUUAAGAUUGGAAGGAUAAAUGUAAGGCUGAUGCUGAAUUAUGAGAUGAUCAUAAAUAGAGCUCCAAAUAGGACACCAUGGGGAACUCCAUAUCGACAACUGAUGAGAUAUAAGGUACCUCACCUUAGUACGAAUAAUAAGAAAAGGAGGCAUAUGGACAUGGAAACAUUCUUUCCACCACAUGUUCAUUCACAAACUGACUAUGAACAAUGCCAUGUUUGCCUCUGGGCCCAGUUUCCAUCUCCACCUUAGAUGAGUCCCCAUCACUUUACCUCAUUAAGAGUUCUUUUCCUACGUACCUCAAAUACAUACAACAGCCACACGUCAAGGUUGCAUUAUUGUCAUUCCAUCUCUUCUUCCAUGAGCCCUUCCACUUCAGCUCUUUUGUUAUUGUGACAACAGUCUGCUCCAAAUCUGCCAAUCUUUCCAUCCGGCUCCAAAUACGCCCAUUUUUCGCCAAAUCUGUCAAUUUGUCCUACAAAGUUUGUACUUUCAGCCUAAGAAUUUUCAUUGUUCGGAAUGAGGAGGGUUUUCAGAGUUCACUUCUCUCAAAGAGAGCACAACACAUAUCAAUACAGAUUUGUGAUGAACAAGGCUCAGUGUUAUUUAUAGCAAUAAAUACCAACACAUGGUAAGUUAUUCAAUGGAGUAUCUAAGUUACUGUGUUUGGCAAAAAAAGGUCUAACGUGACUAUGUUAAAGUGAAUCCCUAAAUUAACAAAUGCAAGAGGAAAAUAUAACUACUACGAGUGCAUGGGGUGUGCACAUGUUCCUAGAUAAUCAAUUUGACCAAUAUAUUAUAUGCCAACAAAGCUAUGUCCUUAGAAAAUUUAUUUGAAUUCAAAUUUAUUCGAAGCCUCAUUCACCAAUCUCAACGGCAUUAUAUUGAUUUUAAAAAUAGAUGGUUCUGCAACAUACCUUUACAAAAUAGUCAUAAGUAGAUUUUAAAAAUAGUGACAAUCCGACAUGGUACAAGGCCAAACAAGAUACUCCUGGUAGCCGACCACCGCAACGACCUUCUUUCG